UUUGGCCAACACAAAUUGCUGAAACCAAUUAGAGGUUUACAACUGUCCCACUUCUAUUAAAAAGAUGUUGUUAGGGGGAUGUGAGAGAAUAAUAUUCUCUCAUUCUAUUUUCAGCACAUGGCAGUGCGUGACCUAUAAGUAAAACCACUCCCUCACUCCUUAGGCAGAGAUUUUCAGAUCAAAUAAUUCCCUAAAAUGUUCAGCUUAAUAUUACAUUGAGGGCUGAUCCCUUUUUCUGAUUUAAGACGAACAAUAGUUAGAAAAUUGCUAAAAAUUUCUGGUUUUGGGAAAAGUGAAAAAAAAAUGGAAUGAAUUGGAAGCUGGGGUUUGCUCUUGUUGAUUGCUGAUUCUUGCUGAUCUUUCUGCUGCUUCCUUCAUUCUCAAAGAUUUCUUAUCUUCCUUCUUUUUUCUUUUGUAACCAGGUAUUCUUCGAAUCAUGAAUAACAAAUGGAGUGCAAGUGUAUUCAUCCUUUAAAAGCUGUGUUAUGCGACUUAAAGAAUAUUGUUUAGUCUUUGAAUUGAAGUAUUUACUAUACAUAUACUAUUUUUCGAGUUAUAUAACUUUCCCCUCCAUAAUGUUGUUUCAAUUUUUGGUUAUGAAGCAUUUUAGACUUGUUUAGUUAAGAGCUUUUGUAAAUGGGUAUUAAAUUAGCUCAUAUAUGCUGUGUUUUGUUCAGAGGUUGAUGUGUUAAAUUGUCACAAUGGAUUUUUGAUUAAAGCAUGUUGUCAGAUGUUGCUCUUGUUUUCAUUUUAGUUUUUUCUUUCAUGUUUCUUUUAAGCCAUCAGCUUUCUUUUUCUUCCUUCUCUGUUAUUUCUGUCUAGAUGUGAUAAAUCUAUUGUGAUAGUCAUUACCUAGUAGAUUGAUUCAGUGUCAGAUGUUCAACAGUUCAUAUUUCAGGUAUAGAUGUAUGUGAAAAGUUCAGGACAAAGCCAUAGUUUAAAUAGCUCAUUUCUUUAUCAUUCACUGAAUUGUGGAGUUUGACUAGUAUGUCGGUUUUGGUUCAUUUCUCAAGCUUGAGGGAUUAAAUCUAGUGUCCCAACUUUAUGUACUAUUUGAAAAAAAAAAACUCUAUAUUUAAAUAAUGUCCAGAUUUGUCACCGUAGAAUUCAAACAUUGAUGUAGUAGUUAAACAUCUUACUUUUAAGGUAAUUUAUUACUGGUUUAAAGUAAUUCAAACAACAAAAGUCCAUAAUCUGGUUAUUCAUGCAAUUUCUCAGAAUUUUAUGUAUUGUUUUAUUAUUUGCGAAAGGGAAGAAAAUGUGAGUUUUAGCUAUGACCUUAGCAUGUUAGGAGCAUUCUAAUUUUAAAUUUGUUGGACCUAGUUUUGGUCGCAUGAUUUGGCCCGUUUGGGAUUCGCUUUUCUCUUAUCUUGGGCUCGAUCUCGAGCCCAAAACUCUCCAGCCUUAGUUUGUUUAAAGUUUACGAAAAAGAAUAUAAUGCGGAGUUCAUCAUAUUGUUGGGCCUGUUACUGGCCAAUCAAAAUCACUAGGAAUGUUUGCCCUUUGUUCUAAUUGUUGGGCUCAAUUUCGAGCCCAUUCCCCAUUUACUUUCGUUAAAUCAUUAGCGAGCUUGUUGUUGGCUCAGUCUUCCCAGAGUAAUCAAAGGCCCGUUAAAUUAUCCAAAUGCAUAUUUGCAACUAGUAAGUAUAGACUAAAUUUUGAUUCAAAUUAAACAUGAACCUCAUAAUUCACCUUUAUUGAACACAAUUCUCUUCAUUAAGUAAAAUGGGUGUGCCAUCAGAUCACAUAGUCUGUAGCCCUCAAAUCGGUAUCUUGAUUUAACAUAGAAGAAUAUGUCGAACAUUCAUAGUUUACUUUAGGCGCAUUAAUUAAAUAAAUUGCUAUAGCUAUGGGUACGGUUCUCGUAGUUGUGAUGCUUAAUUUUUCAAAUCCGAGGGGUACAUUUAUAUGAUCCGGCAACAAUUUAAUCUUGUUAAUAAAAUAAACAUGUUGCGAAUCGUGGGUGCGAUUCAUGUGAUAUGAUUCGCAAUGUGUAAUUAAAUAAUUAGUUGUAUGACAAUCGUGAAUUAUUGAAAGCGGUUUAAAAGGGAUAAAAACAUACAUAUGUGUUCAAAAAGGUAUUAUUUAUCAGAUAAUUAGGCCAAUAAUAAUAGUUGACUGAUCUUGCUAAAACCACGAAACUCGGAAAUGCCUAACACCUUCUCCCGAGUUAACAUAAUAUCUUACUCAAAUUUUUGUGUUUCGUGGACUGGAUAACAUAGUCAAACUUCCUCGAUUCAAAAUUUUAGGCCGGUGACUUGGGAUACCAUAAAUUAUCCCAAGUGGCGACUCUGAUCUUAAAUAAAUAAUCUCGUUCCGAUUAUUGUCACUUCAAUUGAAAAAACUUCCUUAUACCCCUUAUGUGUGUAGUAAAAAGGAGGUGUGACACAAGAACAUUCUCUCUGCUCUCUAACUCAAACAUACCCUCUACUCAGCUUUAUUGCUUACAUUUAUUGCUUUAUUUACAUCCGCUUUAUCUCAUUGAUGGUUCUUCAUAUACUGCUUAUUAUUGAUCAUAAUGAGCCGCAAUCACAACCCUAUAGCUAUUAAUCCCCUCUCAAACGCCCUUAGCGGAGUAUCAAAUUCGACCUCAAGGCCCGUAUACAUCAGCUUGAGGCCCCGAUUUCCAGUCCUUUAGUUUGAUUAUUAUAUUAUCUACAAACUCUUACCUCAUCUUCUUAUCUCUUAUUUAGUAUUUAUUGUCUAAAUUACAGGCAUAAAAAUAAAUUACAUAUUUUUAAAAUUACAAAAUUAAAUUAAAUUUUAAUUACCAUUUUCAAAGUAAAUAUUCUAAUAGAAAAAAGUUUCUUUCUAAGAAAAUCUUGAUAAACAGUUGUAUCAUUCGAAAGGACAUGCUUUAAUUGAGUUACGUCAUAGUAUAGGCUAUGGAUAGAUGGUUUAGGGUGGAAAUAACCCUUCCACUAGUUGGAAGCCGUUAGAGCCACAGGGCUCAGCUUAAGGGGGUUCCGGUCAUAUUGAUUGUGUUGAGAGUGAACCAUUGUUGUAGCGAUGAUGACAUAAAUGAGUUAUAAUCAAUAGGUAAUUGUUGGUUGAAUCUCAAUUCAUCCGAAAUUUUCCAAUUUCAUGGUAGGGUAGGUCUAAGGCCAAGCUCUAGUUGUCACUUUAUCAUUUGUCUUUUGAAGAUGCAUUCAAGGUACUUUAUGUGUAAAUCUGUGUCUUAAAAGGUAUGGGGGAGUCGUUUUAUAUAUACCUUAUCAGCAAGGCGUAACUCCAUGAAUAUUUAAUUUUUAAUAUUUUAUAAAAUAAUAUAAUUAUAAUAAAUAUUUAUAAACAGAUAAAAUUAUAUAAUAAUAGAAGAAAACUAUAAAUAUGUGAUAUAUAUAUAUAUAUAUAUCCUAAAAAAACCAGUCAAAACAAUCUAUCAUGUUACUUAUAAACACAAGUAACUUGAGGCGAAACGAAUAAAGUUUUUUACAUGCAGGAACAAAAAGUAUGACUAACCUGCAAUUUGAUUUUUUAAUUUGUUGCUAUGAAAGAGAAUGAAGUUAUCUUUGUAUUCGUUAAAAUAAAAAAAGAAUAUUCGGUUCUUUUUGUAGAUAUUGCAGACUAACAGACAAGAUAAAGAAUUGAGAAAAACCAUAAAUUAGGGUUUCAAUCAAUAAAAGAGUCUUGAUUUAUAAAUAAAACAUUUCAAUUCAUUUUUAAAACUUUUGAGUAAUUACAGGAUGAACUUUUGAGAAUUUGGGUAUUAUAUGAAGGACUUCUUCAAUAAAUUUUAUUUUAAUUUGAAAAAGUCUUUGGGCCUUAUGCCUCACUACCAAAAACUCACCUCAAACGCCCGGGCGUACUCCCCAAAUUGCUGAGCGUACGCCUCUUGAGACAUUCUCCCUACACCAUCGCCGCAGGACAUGUUUGGUGCGUCACGCCCUAUGGCUCGCCCUGAGGCUCACCCGAAAACGCCUUUUAAAAUAUUAGUGUAUAUAUGUGAUUUAAUUCAAUACUAAUUGAUAAACAAGGAAUCGAAUGCAAAAAUUUAAGAGUACAGUAAGUCAAACCAGUGUGCAAGCAAGUCUCGACCUCGAGCUAUGGCAACCUUGAGGUUGGUCAGCGAGAAUAAUAAAUUAUAUGGCAAUUCAGAUGAACAGUAAGUAAGAAAGUGACGUGUAUAUAUUCUUUUGUAUGAUUGAUGUUGUUACAAAUGAAUGAGCUUUCCUUUAUAUAAUAGGGGAGUCCUAAAUAAGAUACAUUUUACUUUUUCGCAUGGAAUUUUAUUGGACAGCUGUCUAACUGCCUAGUACAAAUCAGUUUCGCAAUUUGCGCCGUGAUCUUAGGGUCGCUGCGGGAAUCUCGCUCUUUAUGUUAUAAAACCACAAUGGUAUUAUCUCGAGGUUAGUCAUAUUCAAUCUCGUUGUUCAUCGAGCAUUUCAACCUUCAAGUUUUGAAAUCUGCAAUCGGGCUCGAGCCCGUUCCAUUUUAAACUUAGGUUCGAAGCAACUCUUCGAGCCUACGAAAUCGAGCGUACCUGAUUUUUACUGUAUAUACUUUAAAAAAAAGUAAACAAAUGCAAUCUAGCAUCAUUUAUCCAUUACAUUUCCAUAUAUGAAAGUACUAAUUUACAUAUCUGCCAGCAUGUCAUAAUUAGUAAUGACACGAAAAAAAUAUUCUCCUUCUUUACCCCAAAGACCACGCCAAAUAAAGAAGGGAAAAAAGAAAGGAAAAACAAAUUAAUAAAAGGUUAUCCGAAAUCAGUUCAAAUAGUAGCAACUAGCUAGUGAUGAUAUGGAGAAGUUUGUUAAAUUCUAUUUUUUCUCUUUUGCAGAAAUCUUUGCAGAGAUCUCUUCAUGGAAAGACCAGUUUGAGAUUGUAACAAUGGUGAUGAUGAUUCUGAAAUUUGUGAUGAAG
Molecule: long non-coding RNA, 4863 nt
Filed under: Nicotiana benthamiana
Lineage: Eukaryota; Viridiplantae; Streptophyta; Magnoliopsida; Solanales; Solanaceae
Description: long non-coding RNA (NBEN_LNC034805)
Source: RNAcentral